RNAcentral lists this ribosomal RNA (292 nucleotides) under uncultured bacterium. RNAcentral describes it as "partial 16S ribosomal RNA". It matches the Rfam family "Bacterial small subunit ribosomal RNA", at positions 505 to 796 of the family's 1533-position model. The record is from RNAcentral.
GUGCCAGCAGCCGCGGUAAGACGUAGGGGGCCAGCGUUGCUCGGAAUAACUGGGCGUAAAGGGUCCGUAGGCGGUGUGGCAAGUCGGGAGUGAAAUCUCUGGGCUUAACCCAGGGGCUGCUUCCGAAACUGCCGUGCUAGAGUGCGAGAGAGGUGAGUGGAAUUGCAGGUGUAGCGGUGAAAUGCGUAGAUAUCUGCAGGAACACCCGUGGCGAAGGCGGCUCACUGGAUCGCAACUGACGCUGAGAGACGAAAGCUAGGGGAGCAAACAGGAUUAGAUACCCUGGUAGUCC